Molecule: ribosomal RNA, 253 nt
Filed under: uncultured bacterium
Lineage: Bacteria
Description: partial 16S ribosomal RNA
Rfam family: Bacterial small subunit ribosomal RNA
Source: RNAcentral
UACGUAGGGGGCAAGCGUUGUCCGGAAUCAUUGGGCGUAAAGCGCGUGUAGGCGGCUCGAUAAGUCUGCUGUGAAAGUCCAGGGCUCAACCCUCGGAUGCCGGUGGAUACUGUCGGGCUUGAGUACGGAAGAGGCGAGUGGAAUUCCUGGUGUAGCGGUGAAAUGCGCAGAUAUCAGGAGGAACACCAAUUGCGAAGGCAGCUCGCUGGGACGUUACUGACGCUGAGACGCGAAAGCGUGGGGAGCAAACAGG